This is a long non-coding RNA of Silurus meridionalis, 711 nucleotides long. RefSeq lists it as uncharacterized. The record is from RefSeq and is a predicted model, not a curated record. The transcript has 4 exons. NCBI's taxonomy places the organism in Eukaryota, Metazoa, Chordata, Actinopteri, Siluriformes, Siluridae.
AAAAGAGAUUAACAUAAAGGCUCAAACGCAUAUCCACGACAUUAAGGAUAUUACAGAGAAGAUCACUGCCAAGGGAGUAAUUACAUUUGAUGAGAACAUCUAUGCUGGAAAAAACAUUAUAAAGACAGUACAAGUGCAAGUUUUACUUGUUAAGCUGACAGUUGUGACAUCAAGUGCACUCAUUGUAGGCAGUUCCAUUGGAGGGUUUAUCCUUUUAAUCAUCAUCAUCAUUAUUCUUAUCAAGUGUGGAUUUUUCCGUCGACGCCAUAAGAUGGAACGCUCAAUGAGUACAACCUGAAGGCAAUUUCAAUGUUGAACAGAUUGCAUAUCAGUGUUCUUUUUAGAUAAUAGCACAUUGUCUGUGUAGAUUUAUUAUUUUAUAAUUGUACAUUUUAAGUUGUUUUAAUUAGGAAUAUAUUUUUAAUUGCUGAAUAGUUUUCUUAAAUCUUCUUGAAAUCUUGAAGCGUUUUGUAAAUGACCUGUACAGAUUUAAUGCAUUCACAACUUUUAUAUAUGAUGUGCCUUCAUUCAUUAACUCAAAGUCCUUUAUUAUCAAUUUCACACACCAAGGGCUUGUUGUUAUGUCUCAUGUGUCAUGUAAGAAAAUGGAAGUUGAAAUUCUGUUUUCACUUACAUUUCAAGAAACAGCCAAUUUUGAUACAGGUCUAGAAACAAAUAAAAAUAAAAAGACGAUUUCACUCUCUGACUAAC